GAUGAACGCUGGCGGCGUGCUUAACACAUGCAAGUCGAGCGAAGCACUUAUCAUUGACUCUUCGGGAGAUUUGAUAUUUGACUGAGCGGCGGACGGGUGAGUAACGCGUGGGUAACCUGCCUCAUACAGGGGAAUAACAGUUAGAAAUGGCUGCUAAUGCCGCAUAAGCGCACAGGACCGCAUGGUCUGGUGUGAAAAACUGAGGUGGUAUGAGAUGGACCCGCGUCUGAUUAGGUAGUUGGUGGGGUAACGGCCUACCAAGCCGACGAUCAGUAGCCGGCCUGAGAGGGUGAACGGCCACAUUGGGACUGAGACACGGCCCAGACUCCUACGGGAGGCAGCAGUGGGGAAUAUUGCACAAUGGGGGAAACCCUGAUGCAGCGACGCCGCGUGAAGGAAGAAGUAUCUCGGUAUGUAAACUUCUAUCAGCAGGGAAGAAAAUGACGGUAC
Molecule: ribosomal RNA, 450 nt
Filed under: uncultured bacterium
Lineage: Bacteria
Description: bacterial SSU rRNA
Rfam family: Bacterial small subunit ribosomal RNA
Source: RNAcentral